GAUAGAGGCGCGGCGCUCAUGCGUACGCCGGGACAGAGGCCAGGCAGCCGUCCCGGGGGAGAGGGAACGCCGCCGAAGGUCGGGCCGCCUGCCUGGGCGUCCCCUCCUGGGCCGGGGGAGAAGAUCCCCCGGACUGUCACUGCAAGUGGAGCGCUAUCC
RNAcentral lists this non-coding RNA (159 nucleotides) under Lawsonibacter asaccharolyticus. RNAcentral describes it as "Lysine riboswitch". It matches the Rfam family "Lysine riboswitch aptamer". From Rfam's summary of the family: Riboswitches are metabolite binding domains within certain messenger RNAs that serve as precision sensors for their corresponding targets. The record is from RNAcentral. Lineage: Bacteria; Bacillati; Bacillota; Clostridia; Eubacteriales; Oscillospiraceae.